UAAGGAAUAUUGGUCAAUGGACGAAAGUCUGAACCAGCCAUGCCGCGUGGAGGAUGAAGGUCCUCUGGAUUGUAAACUUCUUUUAUAUGGGACGAAAAAAGGGUUUUCUAACUCGUCUGACGGUACCAUAUGAAUAAGCACCGGCUAACUCCGUGCCAGCAGCCGCGGUAAUACGGAGGGUGCAAGCGUUAUCCGGAUUCACUGGGUUUAAAGGGUGCGUAGGUGGGUUGGAAAGUCAGUGGUGAAAUCCCGAAGCUUAACUUCGGAACUGCCGUUGAUACUACAGGUCUUGAAUACUCGGGAGGUGAGCGGAAUAUGUCAUGUAGCGGUGAAAUGCUUAGAUAUGACAUAGAACACCGAUUGCGAAGGCAGCUCACUACAGAGUCAUUGACGCUGAGGCACGAAAGCGUGGGGAUCAAA
Molecule: ribosomal RNA, 420 nt
Filed under: uncultured bacterium
Lineage: Bacteria
Description: bacterial SSU rRNA
Rfam family: Bacterial small subunit ribosomal RNA
Source: RNAcentral